GAUGAACGCUAACGGCAGGCCUAAUACAUGCAAGCCGAACGGCAAGCCUUGUAGCAAUACGAGGCCUAGAGUGGCGCAAGGGUGCGUAACACGUAUGCAAUCUGCCCACAACAGGAGGACAGCUCCCCGAAAGGGGAAUUAACCCUCCAUGGGACCACACGAGGGCAUCCGAGAGUGGUUAAACCAAAAGGGGUUGUGGAUGGGCAUGCGGUUGAUUAGCUGGUUGGUAGGGUAACGGCCUACCAAGGCGAUGAUCAAUAGGGGAACUGAGAGGUUUGUCCCCCACACUGGCACUGAGAUACGGGCCAGACUCCUACGGGAGGCAGCAGUAGGGAAUAUUGGACAAUGGGCGGGAGCCUGAUCCAGCCAUGCCGCGUGCAGGAAGAAGGCCUUCUGGGUCGUAAACUGCUUUGCAGGGGAUAAAAGCCCGUGCGCGGGAAAUUGAAGGUACCUGGUGAAUAAGCCACGGCU
This 471-nucleotide ribosomal RNA is filed under the name uncultured bacterium. Its description in RNAcentral is "partial 16S ribosomal RNA". It matches the Rfam family "Bacterial small subunit ribosomal RNA", at positions 28 to 498 of the family's 1533-position model. The record is from RNAcentral.